RNAcentral lists this ribosomal RNA (228 nucleotides) under uncultured prokaryote. Its description in RNAcentral is "partial 16S ribosomal RNA". It matches the Rfam family "Bacterial small subunit ribosomal RNA", at positions 524 to 751 of the family's 1533-position model. The record is from RNAcentral.
UACGAAGGGGGCUAGCGUUGUUCGGAAUUACUGGGCGUAAAGCGCGCGCAGGCGGUUUUUCAAGUCAGUGGUGAAAGCCCGGAGCUCAACUCCGGAAUUGCCAUUGAAACUGUAAAACUUGAGGAUGAGAGAGGUGAGUGGAAUUCCCAGUGUAGAGGUGAAAUUCGUAGAUAUUGGGAAGAACACCGGUGGCGAAGGCGGCGACCUGGUCCGAUACUGACGCUGAGG